AUUGAACGCUGGCGGCAGGCUUAACACAUGCAAGUCGAGCGGGGUGAUGGUGCUUGCACUAUCACUUAGCGGCGGACGGGUGAGUAAUGCUUAGGAAUCUGCCUAUUAGUGGGGGACAACAUCUCGAAAGGGAUGCUAAUACCGCAUACGUCCUACGGGAGAAAGCAGGGGAUCACUUGUGACCUUGCGCUAAUAGAUGAGCCUAAGUCGGAUUAGCGAGUUGGUGGGGUAAAGGCCUACCAAGGGGACGAUCUGUAGCGGGUCUGAGAGGAUGAUCCGCCACACUGGGACUGAGACACGGCCCAGACUCCUGCGGGAGGCAGCAGUGGGGAAUAUUGGACAAUGGGGGGAACCCUGAUCUAGCCAUGCCGCGUGUGUGAAGAAGGCCUUAUGGUUGUAAAGCACUUUAAGCGAGGAGGAGGCUCUUUUGGUUAAUACCCAAGAUGAGUGGACGUUACUCGCAGAAUAAGCACCGGCUAACUCUGUGCCAGCAGCCGCCGUAA
This 503-nucleotide ribosomal RNA is filed under the name uncultured bacterium. Its description in RNAcentral is "partial 16S ribosomal RNA". It matches the Rfam family "Bacterial small subunit ribosomal RNA", at positions 30 to 523 of the family's 1533-position model. The record is from RNAcentral.